UUGCGCGCGAGCCAAUGGUACUCAGUUGAAACACCAAAGGCGCAAAAAACAUAACUUGAAACUGUGCGGGAUUACGGGCGAGACUCUCUGCUCGUCCCUCCAUCCCCGGGUGUUAUACCAGGCAUGCCGGGGGCCUCGCGCCCUCGGUGCCAUAACAUACCGCGAGUGUGCAGGAUGUGACCCGAAAGAUGGUGAACUAUGCCUGAUCAGGUUGAAGUCAGGGGAAACCCUGAUGGAGGACCGAAGCAGUUCUGACGUGCAAAUCGAUUGUCAGAAUUGGGCAUAGGGGCGAAAGACCAAUCGAACCAUCUAGUAGCUGUUUUCCUUCCGAA
This 332-nucleotide ribosomal RNA is filed under the name Culex pipiens (northern house mosquito). Its description in RNAcentral is "eukaryotic LSU rRNA". It matches the Rfam family "Eukaryotic large subunit ribosomal RNA", at positions 680 to 965 of the family's 3401-position model. Lineage: Eukaryota; Metazoa; Arthropoda; Insecta; Diptera; Culicidae. The record is from RNAcentral.